CCCUGUCCGUGUGCUGUAAAGGGGCCGCCGGACCAAGCGCACACACACAUGGCAUGCUGACCGAGCUACCGACCGCGAGACGAGGCCCCACUGGCCGCUGUGGAAUCCAUACAUCAGGUACUUACAGGCACACGUCGCAGGACCCACGCCAUGACAUGGCGCCUCCCUCCAGAAUCCCCAGAGAGUCAAGCCCCAAAGAAUACUUAGCUUAGCCAACUGGUCAUGAACACGAACGGUCACUGCCGGCCGGGCGGCCAGGCAGUGCUUCCUCGCAC
Molecule: long non-coding RNA, 275 nt
Filed under: Chlamydomonas reinhardtii
Lineage: Eukaryota; Viridiplantae; Chlorophyta; Chlorophyceae; Chlamydomonadales; Chlamydomonadaceae
Description: long non-coding RNA (CREI_LNC001396)
Source: RNAcentral